Molecule: long non-coding RNA, 883 nt
Filed under: Homo sapiens (human)
Lineage: Eukaryota; Metazoa; Chordata; Mammalia; Primates; Hominidae
Description: HSALNT0304001
Source: RNAcentral
AGUCCGGCGAACUCCCUGGUGGCUGCCUAGCUGCCCGCCCGGGCCUCUCCCGACGAGGGUGGCCCUGAGGCUCGCCUUUGUCCUGGAGGCUAGGCAGCGACCAAGGCUCCCCCGUUUUUCGCUGACGGUUCUAGUUCAGCCUCCUCACGCGCCUCCGGGAGCCCCAGUGCUCACCUGGGCGGCGGCGGUCACACCCGAUAACUGACAGGCCCGCAGCAUCUCGGUCAAGCGGACGGCGCUGCUGGUGGACUCGAGCUGCCGCGGCGGCGCGAGUUAAGUGGAGGCGUGCUUGCGUGUGUGCGUGCCCGCGUCCGCGCCCGGCGCACCGGAAGCACAGCGGACGCCACUGCGCACGCGCGGCCCCUUCUACCGUCCCCGACUCCGCGGCUCUUAGAGGGUGGGCUGUGUCCCGGCUGCGGAAACGCCAACUCCAGGCGAUUGGCGCGAAGGAGGCGAAAAGGGCGGAUUCCCUUUCCGGGUCGCGCCCGGGCUGCAGGUCCUUAUCCGGAAGGGGUUACUAGGUGAACACUGCCGGAGGGAGAGCGCUCUGAAAUCCAUUCUUCAGCCGCACGUGGAAAAUGGACAGCUGUGACUCUUAAAGAGAAUUAAAGCAACAAAGCAUCUCAGCCUGCUCUAUGAGCUGGAUAUUUCGUAGGAAGGAGCCGAUUUGGCGAAAGUUACGUAAACAAUGGAAUUGUCUCAGUUUGCGCCUUUGUUUCGUUUGACAGCCCUCCAGGGAGUCAUAGUGAUUGCUGGAGACGGUGAACUAACACUGUGGGGACCCUUGUGCUAAACGUGUCAAGUGGCACAACAAGGAUAGGAACACGGGUCCUUUGGACUCCACAGCUUCUGCUCCUUCCAGAUUAAGCCACACUGCUUUCUC